Molecule: ribosomal RNA, 253 nt
Filed under: uncultured bacterium
Lineage: Bacteria
Description: partial 16S ribosomal RNA
Rfam family: Bacterial small subunit ribosomal RNA
Source: RNAcentral
UACGGGGGGGGCAAGCGUUGUUCGGAAUUACUGGGCGUAAAGGGCUCGUAGGCGGCCAACUAAGUCAGACGUGAAAUCCCCAGGCUCAACCUGGGAACUGCGUCUGAUACUGGAUGGCUUGAAUUCGGGAGAGGGAUGCAGAAUUCCAGGUGUAGCGGUGAAAUGCGUAGAUAUCCGGAGGAAUACCGGUGGCGAAGGCGGGUCUCUGGGCCGACACUGACGCUGAGGAGCGAAAGCGUGGGGAGCGAACAGG